CUGAGGCUGGCUUUGAACUUGCGAUCCUCCUGCCUCAGCCUCCCAAGCUGCUGGGAUGGCAGGUGUGCACCUGGCCUGGCCCUGGGAAUGUUAAAUGUGUGUUACCCACCUGGAGAAACGGUAAGCACCUCGAGGGCAAGAACUGUCCUCUCAGCACCAAAAUGGGCCUGACUUAGAAUAUGCCAUUGAUAGGGGAACAUGGGAAUAAGUGGUUGGAAGGACGGAUGGAAGGGUGCGUGGGUAAGUAGAUGGAUGCACAGACAGGGGGAACUAAGGGCAGAUGGAAGGGCUGAUGAAAUGAUGUGUGGGCAGAUGGACAGAGGAUGGAUGGGUAUGGAGGAUACCCACUGGGGACAAAAAGCAGAAAUGUGGAUCCUUCUGGCUUACAGCCAGCAUCACUGAGAUUCAGAGAGCCGGAAUUACUCUUGUCUCUUGCCCAAGGUCACAAGGCUGGCCUAGAGGGUCCCACCCUAACUAAAGGGAUUCAGUUCUAAGUCAGCCCAUCAGGCAAAAUCAUAGGGUCAAAAUGCCUGAAAUCUGCCCUCAGCCCUUGGCAGCAGCCUAGCAGUCUCUCCACGGCACCAGCAGAGGCCCAGGUGAACCCAGGCUGCAGGCUGCAUUCAG
RNAcentral lists this long non-coding RNA (624 nucleotides) under Marmota monax (woodchuck). Lineage: Eukaryota; Metazoa; Chordata; Mammalia; Rodentia; Sciuridae. The record is from RNAcentral.